Molecule: ribosomal RNA, 267 nt
Filed under: uncultured bacterium
Lineage: Bacteria
Description: partial 16S ribosomal RNA
Rfam family: Bacterial small subunit ribosomal RNA
Source: RNAcentral
CCGACCGGCGCACGGGUGAGUAACACGUAUGCAACCUGGCCGUCACAGGUGGAUAACCGGAAGAAAUUCCGACUAAUACAGCAUAACACUCCUGAGGGACAUCCUUCGGGAGUCAAAGGAGGCAACUCCGGUGACGGAUGGGCAUGCGGCGCAUUAGGUAGUUGGUAGGGUAACGGCCUACCAAGCCGACGAUGCGUAGGGGUUCUGAGAGGAAGGUCCCCCACAUUGGAACUGAGACACGGUCCAAACUCCUACGGGAGGCAGCAG